CCUACGGGUGGCUGCAGUGAGGAAUAUUGGUCAAUGGGCGGAAGCCUGAACCAGCCAAGUCGCGUGAGGGAAUAAGGCCCUACGGGUCGUAAACCUCUUUUGCCGGGGAGCAAGGGCGGGGCCGUGUCCCGGCCCGGAGAGUACCCGGAGACAAAGCAUAGGCUAACUCCGUGCCAGCAGCCGCGGUCAUACGGAGGAUGCGCGCGUUAUCCGGAUUUAUUGGGUUUAAGGGGUGCAUAGGCGGAAUAUCAAGUCAGCGGUAAAAAUUCGGGGCACAACCCCGUCGUGCCGUUGAAACUGAUGUUCUGGAGUGGGCGAGAAGUAGGCGGAAUGCGUGGUGUAGCGGUGAAAUGCAUAGAUAUCACGCAGAACUCCGAUGGAGAAGGCAGCAUACCGGCGCCCAACUGACGCUGAAGCACGAAAGCGUGGGUAUCGAACAGGAUUAGAUACCCGGGUAGUC
RNAcentral lists this ribosomal RNA (460 nucleotides) under uncultured bacterium. Its description in RNAcentral is "partial 16S ribosomal RNA". It matches the Rfam family "Bacterial small subunit ribosomal RNA", at positions 338 to 795 of the family's 1533-position model. The record is from RNAcentral.